CCAGCAUUGGUCUAAGUACUUUGCAUAUAUUGACUCCUUCACUAAUAUUAACCCUAUGAGCAAGGUCCCACUAUUUUCUUCAUUAGGAAAGCAUCACGAAGGGUAUGUACAGAGUAAAUAGUGAUCAAAGCUAUUUACUGGCUAGAGCUCAGCACAGACCUUUAAACUCAAAAGAGUCAAAUCCAAGACAAACAAAAGGAAGUGAGACUUUAUACAGUGGGCAGUAAAGCCUGUAGAAUGCACCACCUAAAGUAACAGUACAAGUUGAGCUGUAAAGAGACUAAAGGAUUUAAGCUACAUUUGUGGAAGGUAAAACCAAGAUAUAUUACUAUAAGAGAAUCAUAUGAAAUAUCUUUAGCCUUUGAAAUUACCAUUAGGAAGAAAACCACACCCUCUCCAAUCUGCUGCCAACAUAUUUCUGAGUCCCCCUAUAAAAAUUCUGGGUUGGAUGGACCAGAAAUUUGGCCAACUAUGGCUUUUCCUUUUUAAUUAUGACAUAACUAGGGGACUGGUACAUGAAUUCUUUGUGGGCAUCUCAAGAUGGUUGUAAUUUAUACUAUGCUUGAGUCUGUUUUAAUUGAUAGCCUGAACUACACACAAUUCUAUUUAAAGCAAGCUUUGUACUCUGUAGAAAUGGAAUCCUUUUGAAAAAUGACUUGCUGAAGGAUGAAUUGCCACAAAGAGAACAGUUACAAAUGGAGAUAUUUCAGGAGCAGAGGUCUCCUCACACCCUCAAAUGACAGCUGGAGGGCCAGCAGUUUUCAUCCAAGUCAGGUAACCCCUUUGAGCUUCGUUUUCCUCUUCUGUCAACUGGAAAUUAUACCUUUUGCUUCUCUUACAGUUUAGAACACUUUCACCAAUAUUUACCUAUUUGAUUCUCACAGAC
RNAcentral lists this long non-coding RNA (886 nucleotides) under Microcebus murinus (gray mouse lemur). RNAcentral describes it as "lncRNA (ENSMICG00000048257.1)". Lineage: Eukaryota; Metazoa; Chordata; Mammalia; Primates; Cheirogaleidae. The record is from RNAcentral.